This is a long non-coding RNA of Saccostrea echinata, 504 nucleotides long. RefSeq lists it as uncharacterized. Lineage: Eukaryota; Metazoa; Mollusca; Bivalvia; Ostreida; Ostreidae. The record is from RefSeq and is a predicted model, not a curated record. The transcript is spliced from 2 exons.
AAGCGACUUUUUGCAGCUUUUGGCCUACCGAAACAUCCCGAAUGUGGUUGCAAUCGGAACAUUGACUCACCUCACUGCGCAUGCGCAGAAGUCACCUUCUUCCUGUGUAACGUAAACAAGGAAAAUUUUCCCCUCCAGUACGACAAAAAGGUUAUUGCCAAUUACUGUAUGAAUCUAUGUUCAACAAAGUCUUUGGUUCAUGUGCAAACACCUUAGAUGUCAUCAACUUUCAAGAGGUAUAUCAUUAUCACAAUGCCUGAAUGGGAUAAUUAACCUCACAGAUGAAAAAGACAGUGUCCUGAUUGUUUUUCCCUGCCUAAAGAAUAUUGAAGAGAACAGAAGAGGUGUGUUGUCCUGACUGGCUUCAAUUAUUGCAUAUGCAAAUAUGACUUUUUUGAUACAAAGUAAUAAAUUGUAACUUUAUUUUGGAAUGGCAUCUGAUUAACCUUUACAUAAAAUGUUUGUUUUUUUUAAAGGAAAGUAAUAAAAUUAUUGUAAACAUCA